RNAcentral lists this long non-coding RNA (279 nucleotides) under Carica papaya (papaya). RNAcentral describes it as "long non-coding RNA (CPAP_LNC000967)". The record is from RNAcentral. Lineage: Eukaryota; Viridiplantae; Streptophyta; Magnoliopsida; Brassicales; Caricaceae.
AAUAUCAGUGCAAUCACAUUACAUAGUGAGAAAUAAUUGCAAGAAGUACACCGCUGAACAAGCCUUGGUUGAGGCUUACAGAAGGAAGCAUAAUUAGAAGCCUUGGAUAAAACUCUAGAGACGAUAACUGAUGACAAUACCCAUCCAACAAAGACAAAUUCUGACCAAUCCAACCCAUGGGUAAUUAAACCGUCUUUCCUAGAAAGAUUUGCCAAGAUGAAAAAAGAAAAUGAGGAGAAGGAGAUUUUAGAAACAUUCCGUAAGUUUGAGGUGAACCUU